AGCGAACGCUGGCGGCAGGCCUAACACAUGCAAGUCGAACGAACUCUUCGGAGUUAGUGGCGGACGGGUGAGUAACACGUGGGAACGUGCCUUUUGGUUCGGAAUAACUCAGGGAAACUUGUGCUAAUACCGAAUGUGCCCUUCGGGGGAAAGAUUUAUCGCCAUUAGAGCGGCCCGCGUCUGAUUAGCUAGUUGGUGAGGUAACGGCUCACCAAGGCGACGAUCAGUAGCUGGUCUGAGAGGAUGACCAGCCACACUGGGACUGAGACACGGCCCAGGCUCCUACGGGAGGCAGCAGUGGGGAAUCUUGCGCAAUGGGCGAAAGCCUGACGCAGCCAUGCCGCGUGAAUGAUGAAGGUCUUAGGAUUGUAAAAUUCUUUCACCGGGGACGAUAAUGACGGUACCCGGAGAAGAAGCCCCGGCUAACUUCGU
This 432-nucleotide ribosomal RNA is filed under the name uncultured bacterium. RNAcentral describes it as "partial 16S ribosomal RNA". It matches the Rfam family "Bacterial small subunit ribosomal RNA", at positions 29 to 506 of the family's 1533-position model. The record is from RNAcentral.